Molecule: non-coding RNA, 381 nt
Organism: Vicia faba (fava bean)
Lineage: Eukaryota; Viridiplantae; Streptophyta; Magnoliopsida; Fabales; Fabaceae
Source: the annotation of a GenBank genome assembly
AUGUCCUACUGCCUUGUCAUUAUCCAAAAUGCUGCUACUUCUAUGCUUUUGUUGCUGCCAAAAAACCUGCUAUUACAGCCCUGCUCAAGUCUGUCCAUAAAGCUUGCAAUGCUACCCCUACAUCCUUUGCAACCUCUACAAAAUGGCCUUGUAAACCAGUCCAUAACAAUAGUCCAAAAACAUGUUAUUUCCCUAUACAUAAACAUCAAAAUAGCAACACAAAAAUGGCAUCAUAAAAGUAAUAAAACAGUUUCCAAAUAUCACACUUUUUUUCCCUCCCAAACCUCAGUUUAUUCCAGCUAUAAAAGUAGUUCUAAGGAGAGGAGAUCACAGGGUAGAAACACACAAAGAGGACACAAAAAAAAAACUAACAGUAGCUAA